Long non-coding RNA from Helianthus annuus (common sunflower), 333 nucleotides. RefSeq lists it as uncharacterized. Lineage: Eukaryota; Viridiplantae; Streptophyta; Magnoliopsida; Asterales; Asteraceae. The record is from RefSeq and is a predicted model, not a curated record. The transcript is spliced from 3 exons.
CUGGCUAAUCAUUUAGGAGCAGACUAUAGCAUGUUGAUUGUUCAUGGCUUUUCAAGGGCUCAACUGAGAAAGGCUUGUAGCUCUCAAACGGCUCAAUGACUCCCACUAUUUUUGUUGAGUCAGGGAGAUGAAUCAACUCGAAAGAGAGAACGAUGCGUUUCGAAAGUGGAGGGGGAAAAUGAUAAAGAAUUCAGCCUUAAGGAAUUGUAUGAAUCCAAUAACAUCCAGGAUGUAAAUAUGACUUAUUUUUUAGUUAUAAAGAUGGAUUGUCCUAGAAACCCUUUUCUUCAACCUGGCUUUUGAGUCUCCAAAUCUUCAAUUUAUAUUUUUGCA